AUUGAACGCUGGCGGCAUGCUUUACACAUGCAAGUCGAGCGGCAGCGCGGGGGCAACCCUGGCGGCGAGCGGCGAACGGGUGAGGAAUGCAUCGGAACGUGUCCCGUAAUGGGGGAUAGCUCGGCGAAAGCCGGAUUAAUACCGCAUACGCUCUGAGGAGGAAAGCCGGGGAUCCGCAAGGACCUGGCGUUAGGGGAGCGGCCGAUGUCCGAUUAGCUAGUUGGUGGGGUAAAGGCUUACCAAGGCGACGAUCGGUAGCUGGUCUGAGAGGAUGAUCAGCCACACUGGGACUGAGACACGGCCCAGACUCCUACGGGAGGCAGCAGUGGGGAAUUUUGGACAAUGGGGGCAACCCUGAUCCAGCCAUGCCGCGUGAGUGAUGAAGGCCUUAGGGUUGUAAAGCUCUUUCAGCGGGGAAGAUAAUGACGGUACCCGCAGAAGAAGCCCCGGCUAACUUCGUGC
Molecule: ribosomal RNA, 462 nt
Filed under: uncultured bacterium
Lineage: Bacteria
Description: bacterial SSU rRNA
Rfam family: Bacterial small subunit ribosomal RNA
Source: RNAcentral